Molecule: non-coding RNA, 84 nt
Organism: Candidatus Micrarchaeota archaeon CG1_02_60_51
Lineage: Archaea; Nanobdellati; Microcaldota
Source: Rfam
GCGGGGGUCGCCUAGUGGUAUGGCGGCAGCCUGCUAAGCUGUUACUGCGUAAGCGGUACGUGGGUUCGAUUCCCACUCCCCGCG